RNAcentral lists this ribosomal RNA (423 nucleotides) under uncultured Sphingobacteriia bacterium. Its description in RNAcentral is "bacterial SSU rRNA". It matches the Rfam family "Bacterial small subunit ribosomal RNA", at positions 488 to 916 of the family's 1533-position model. The record is from RNAcentral. Lineage: Bacteria; Pseudomonadati; Bacteroidota; Sphingobacteriia.
AAGCACCGGCUUAAUUCCGUGCCAGCAGCCGCGGUAAUACGGAAGGUGCAAGCGUUAUCCGGAAUCACUGGGUUUAAAGGGUGCGUAGGCGGUUGCGUAAGUCAGAAGUGAAAGCUCACAGCUUAACUGUGGAAUUGCUUUUGAUACUGCGUGACUAGAAUUAGGUUGAGGUUGGCGGAAUGUGACAUGUAGCGGUGAAAUGCAUAGAUAUGUCAUAGAACACCAAUUGCGAAGGCAGCUGACUGGACCUAUAUUGACGCUGAGGCACGAAAGCGUGGGGAGCGAACAGGAUUAGAUACCCUGGUAGUCCACGCCCUAAACGAUGCUUACUCGAUGUGUGAACUAUUGCGCAUCCAAGGGAAACCGUUAAGUAAGCCACCUGGGGAGUACGUUCGCAAGAAUGAAACUCAAAUGAAUUGACGG